RNAcentral lists this long non-coding RNA (642 nucleotides) under Mustela putorius furo (domestic ferret). RNAcentral describes it as "lncRNA (ENSMPUG00000025539.1)". The record is from RNAcentral. Lineage: Eukaryota; Metazoa; Chordata; Mammalia; Carnivora; Mustelidae.
ACCUGUCCUCAGCAUACGUCCUUCCGGCGGGUGAGUCAUGGGUAAAGGAAGAGGGCGGCCUGGAAGAUGACGGCCCGGCGGCCAUUUUUAUUGUCCCUCCUACAUUCCUGGAGCCGCUGACCCAACUAUACCCGCCUAUGGCUUCAGUGAGGAUAUAGAAAGCUUUUAACAGUGUCAGGAGAUGAAUUGACUUAAUCAGGACUUUGCUGAUACCACAGUCUUUGGCAGGACUUCGUGGCUCAUUGCUGAUCCCAGGAAAAGACUGAGAGCCUACAAAUGAAGUUUUCAAUAUUUGUGGAAAGAGAAUCAACAAAUGCUGAGUCACAGUGUUCCUGCAUUCCACAUCCUUGCUGCUGGGCCGUUGCUGCAGGCAGCCAUGGCCACUGACGCAGAACAUGCCAGGCUCCAGUGAGAGCUCUUGCUGCAAUCCUCAGCACAGAAAGAACUCUCCAGAACAGAGAGAGAGAAAGAGAGGAAGACUGUGUGGAAGAGGGCAGAGCCUUAAAAAGAGCCUUAAGCAGGCUCCAUGCCCCGUGUGGAACUUGUUGCAGGGCUUGAUCUCAUGACCCUGAGAUCAUGACCUGAGCCAAAAUCAAGAGUCUGACACCUAACCAACUGAGUCACACAGGUACCCAAAUUUUU